Transfer RNA from Camelus ferus (Wild Bactrian camel), 72 nucleotides. It matches the Rfam family "tRNA". Rfam says of the family: Transfer RNA (tRNA) molecules are approximately 80 nucleotides in length. Their secondary structure includes four short double-helical elements and three loops (D, anti-codon, and T loops). The record is from Rfam. Lineage: Eukaryota; Metazoa; Chordata; Mammalia; Artiodactyla; Camelidae.
GAUGGUAUAGCUCAGUGGUAGAGCACAUGCUUAGCAUGCACAAGGUCCUGGGUUCAAUCCCCAGUACCUCCA